AUGUCAACAUGAGCCAAUUUGAGAUUACAAAAUAGAGCCUCUCCAUUAAUAGAACAACUAACCUUUUUCCAUGAUCACACAUUAUUAAUUCUAGUAAUAAUUACAAUUCUAGUAGGAUACUUAAUAUUUAUAUUAUUCUUUAAUAAUUACACCAAUCGAUUUUUAUUACAUGGACAAAUUAUUGAAAUAAUCUGAACAAUUCUGCCUGCCAUCAUUCUCUUAUUUAUUGCAUUCCCCUCCCUUCGACUAUUGUAUCUAUUAGAUGAAAUUAACGAACCGGCAAUCACCCUAAAAUCAAUUGGCCAUCAAUGAUAUUGAAGCUAUGAAUAUUCAGAUUUUAUUGAUUUAGAAUUUGACUCCUACAUAAUUCCAACUAAUGACCUUCCAACUGAUGGAUUCCGUCUACUGGAUGUUGAUAACCGAGUAAUCAUCCCAACAAAUACACAAAUUCGUGUAUUAGUGACUGCUGCCGACGUAAUUCACUCUUGAACUGUCCCAUCCCUUGGAGUAAAAGUGGAUGGAACCCCCGGACGAUUAAACCAAACCAAUUUUAUAAUUAGACGCCCUGGCCUAUUCUUUGGACAAUGUUCAGAAAUUUGUGGGGCUAACCACAGUUUUAUGCCAAUUGUAAUUGAAAGUAUUAACACAAACCAUUUUAUCAAAUGAAUUUCU
Molecule: ribosomal RNA, 672 nt
Filed under: Rhaphiomidas pachyrhynchus
Lineage: Eukaryota; Metazoa; Arthropoda; Insecta; Diptera; Mydidae
Description: partial 16S ribosomal RNA
Source: RNAcentral